Molecule: microRNA precursor, 66 nt
Filed under: Bombyx mori (domestic silkworm)
Lineage: Eukaryota; Metazoa; Arthropoda; Insecta; Lepidoptera; Bombycidae
Description: mir-2774 microRNA precursor family
Rfam family: mir-2774 microRNA precursor family
Source: Rfam by way of RNAcentral
ACAACAUUCGAACAGUCGGUCUACCGAGCAAUAUCACCCGCUCGGUGGAAGAUCUUCCUCCGCCGU